Molecule: ribosomal RNA, 497 nt
Filed under: uncultured bacterium
Lineage: Bacteria
Description: partial 16S ribosomal RNA
Rfam family: Bacterial small subunit ribosomal RNA
Source: RNAcentral
GAUGAACGCUGGCGGCGUGCCUAAUACAUGCAAGUCGAGCGAACAGACGAGGAGCUUGCUCCUUCGACGUUAGCGGCGGACGGGUGAGUAACACGUAUGUAACCUACCUAUAAGACUGGGAUAACUUCGGGAAACCGGAGCUAAUACCGGAUAAUAUUUCGAACCGCAUGGUUCGAUAGUGAAAGAUGGCUUUGCUAUCACUUAUAGAUGGACCUGCGCCGUAUUAGCUAGUUGGUAAGGUAACGGCUUACCAAGGCAACGAUACGUAGCCGACCUGAGAGGGUGAUCGGCCACACUGGAACUGAGACACGGUCCAGACUCCUAAGGGAGGCAGCAGUAGGGAAUCUUCCGCAAUGGGCGAAAGCCUGACGGAGCAACGCCGCGUGAGUGAUGAAGGUCUUCGGAUCGUAAAACUCUGUUAUUAGGGAAGAACAAACGUGUAAGUAACUGUGCACGUAUUGACGGUACCUAAUCAGAAAGCCACGGCUAACUACGUG